This 460-nucleotide ribosomal RNA is filed under the name uncultured bacterium. Its description in RNAcentral is "partial 16S ribosomal RNA". It matches the Rfam family "Bacterial small subunit ribosomal RNA", at positions 338 to 795 of the family's 1533-position model. The record is from RNAcentral.
CCUACGGGGGACUGCAGUGAGGAAUAUUGGUCAAUGGGCGAGAUCCUGAACCAGCCAAGCCGCGUGAAGGAAGAAGGAUCUAUGGUUUGUAAACCUCUUUUAUCUGAGAAUAAAGUGAGGAACGUGUUCCUUUUUGUGUGUACCCUAUGAAUAAGCAUCGGCUAACUCCGUGCCAGCAGCCGCGGUAAUACGGAGGAUGCGAGCGUUAUCCGGAUUUAUUGGGUUUAAAGGGUGCGUAGGUGGUUAAUUAAGUCAGCGGUGAAAUUUGGUGGCUCAACCAUAAUAUUGCCGUUGAAACUGGUUGACUUGAGUAUAUUUGAGGUAGGCGGAAUGCGUGGUGUAGCGGUGAAAUGCAUAGAUAUCACGCAGAACUCCGAUUGCGAAGGCAGCGUACUAAACUAUAACUGACACUGAAGCACGAAAGCGUGGGGAUCAAACAGGAUUAGAUACCCCUGUAGUC